UUAUUGUUGCAGGUGUCGGAAUUAUUCCGAUGAAAAGGGAAACAGGUGAAAAUCCUGUGCGAACUCGUCACUGUAAGCAGAGAAUUUAUUUUCACAUGUGCCACUGAGAAAUCGGGAAGGCGAAAAUGAGUAUUGAGCUGUAAGUCAGGAGACCUGCCUGCAGAU
RNAcentral lists this non-coding RNA (165 nucleotides) under pig gut metagenome. The record is from RNAcentral.